UACGAAGGUGGCAAGCGUUGUUCGGAUUUACUGGGCGUACAGGGGGCGUAGGCGGUUGGGUAAGCCCUCCGUGAAAUCUCCGGGCCUAACCCGGAAAGUGCGGAGGGGACUGCUCGGCUAGAGGAUGGGAGAGGAGCGCGGAAUUCCCGGUGUAGCGGUGAAAUGCGUAGAGAUCGGGAGGAAGGCCGGUGGCGAAGGCGGCGCUCUGGAACAUUUCUGACGCUGAGGAUCGAAAGCGUGGGGAGCAAACAGG
Molecule: ribosomal RNA, 253 nt
Filed under: uncultured bacterium
Lineage: Bacteria
Description: partial 16S ribosomal RNA
Rfam family: Bacterial small subunit ribosomal RNA
Source: RNAcentral